This 246-nucleotide long non-coding RNA is filed under the name Elaeis guineensis (African oil palm). Its description in RNAcentral is "long non-coding RNA (EGUI_LNC030731)". Lineage: Eukaryota; Viridiplantae; Streptophyta; Magnoliopsida; Arecales; Arecaceae. The record is from RNAcentral.
GAUAAUACGGAUGUAUCUAUACCUCUAUCUUAUCCAUCAAAUAGAAAGAUUGACUUUUGACCCCUAGAUCCUCUUCCUUCAAUUCAACCCUAACUAUAUGAAGUUUCUAAGUAUAAAAAUUUAAAGCUAAAUGAGCGACAACGAGCUCAGCUACUUGAUUUAUCUGUUGUGAUGGCUGUGACAACAAGCUCAAUUGAAUGAGUGACAAAUAACUGAAAUGUUGAUCUUUACAUGCCAACACCCUCA